RNAcentral lists this ribosomal RNA (467 nucleotides) under uncultured bacterium. Its description in RNAcentral is "partial 16S ribosomal RNA". It matches the Rfam family "Bacterial small subunit ribosomal RNA", at positions 28 to 506 of the family's 1533-position model. The record is from RNAcentral.
GACGAACGCUGGCGGCGUGCUUAACACAUGCAAGUCGAACGGAAAGGCCCUGCUUUUGUGGGGUGCUCGAGUGGCGAACGGGUGAGUAACACGUGAGUAACCUGCCCUUGACUUUGGGAUAACUUCAGGAAACUGGGGCUAAUACCGGAUAGGAGCUCCUGCUGCAUGGUGGGGGUUGGAAAGUUUCGGCGGUUGGGGAUGGACUCGCGGCUUAUCAGCUUGUUGGUGGGGUGGGGGCUUGCCAAGGCUUUGACGGGUAGCCGGCCUGGGAGGGUGACCGGCCCCAUUGGGCCUGAGGUACGGCCCGGACUCCUUCGGGGGGCAGCAGUGGGGACUAUUGCACACUGGGCGGAAGCCUGAUGCAGCAACGCCGCGUGCGGGAUGACGGCCUUCGGGUUGUAAACCGCUUUCGCCUGUGACGAAGCGUGAGUGCCGGUACUGGGUAAAGAAGCACCGGCUAACUACGU